GCCUGGAAGACCUCGUGCCAAGGAAGGAGGGCAAGAAGCAGACCCAACACAUUGGAAAUGCAAGGAGGGAAAACUUUUGGGGGCCGGCAGCAGAAUCGUCUCCCAGAGCAACACUUUUUAAGAGAACAUUAUUACAAGAUUAUAGACAAGAUACCCAUCAUGCCAGCCUUGGGGAUGACGGUGUCUGUGUCUAUGUUUGAAAUUCUGUGUGAAUGAGAGUGAGCGAGUGAAUGAGCAUGAGAGAGAGGGAGAUCUCACUACAAAGGCCCAAGUAUAUUCACAUUCAGGAUUAGGCAAAUUAUUCUUUUGGUAGGGGAUGUUGAGAGUGUCUAGUAGCACCCAGGCCUGGCCUUCAUGCCACUAAAGCAAAUCAAUGUUUCCCUGGCUACCAUGCCAUCAACCUUCACCCGCUAUCUAAAUGGGACUAGCCCACAUUGGCUUCAGCUGCAGACACAGGACCUCCAGGGCUAAGGUCUACCUGGGCCAAGACUAUAGGAGUCCAUGGUAAAUGGCUAACUUUAAUAGAGGUAACAUGACUGGGAGCAGGGAAUGUAACCCUUUGUUUCCCUACGUAAAAGGUGAUGCAUUAAAUACACAGAUUGUAGUAUCACAGGGCAUUGUUUCUUCAACCACAGAGAUGGUUAAGGGUGUGUUUCCUUUCAGCUUGAAUUGGAAAUGCUAACAAGACCUGGUGCCCAGAAGCAACCUAGAAGUCACAAUUGUCAUUUUCUGUCCCCCCACAAGCUGCAAGGACAGCUCUUUUUCAGGUCUGCAAGGUGAGAGGGAAAUCUUCAUCUUGAAUCAUUUUCGAAGGAGAUUUUCCUUCAGGGCCUAUUUGAAUUAAAAGAAAUGCCACAACUCAAACUAUAGCUCAGAGGUGAGAGUAUGUGGUUCAUUAGAUGUUCUUGGACUAUAGUUCCUAUCAGCCCUAUGUAGCAUAGGCAGUGAUGAUGGAUCAUGGGAGCUGUUUAAAAAAAAACAUCAGGAGUGCUACACACUUCUCCUACCUUCCAUUGCUUCCAGCUCUGUUUAUGUGACUUUGACACUGCAGUUUUCAUGUAAGCCGUUGUGUUUGAGUGCCUUUGCUGAAGAUAAACUUAUGAUCUCCAUUUGGGAAGGUGUAGCCAUUGGCAUUGUUACACUUCAGUAUUUCAUUUGCUUGAGCCCAGAGCCAUCCUGAAGUAAUUUUCGGGAGUAGACGACUAGAAAUCCCCCCCCCCCCGAAUUUUGAUGCCCCCUACCCACCAAACAAAUUGCUAAAAAAUACAUGCUGCGGCGGUGGC
RNAcentral lists this long non-coding RNA (1283 nucleotides) under Anolis carolinensis (green anole). Its description in RNAcentral is "lncRNA (ENSACAG00000044080.1)". Lineage: Eukaryota; Metazoa; Chordata; Lepidosauria; Squamata; Anolidae. The record is from RNAcentral.